Molecule: non-coding RNA, 82 nt
Organism: Giardia lamblia ATCC 50803
Lineage: Eukaryota; Fornicata; Diplomonadida; Hexamitidae
Source: Rfam
GACAGUUUGGCCGAGUGGUUAAGGCGCUUGCCUGCUAAGCAAGUGUGCUCCGCACGCGUGGGUUCGAAUCCCACAGCUGUCG